Molecule: transfer RNA, 60 nt
Filed under: Hycleus cichorii
Lineage: Eukaryota; Metazoa; Arthropoda; Insecta; Coleoptera; Meloidae
Description: tRNA-Ser
Source: RNAcentral
GAAAUAUCCUCAAUUAAGCUUCUAACUUAAGUAAUAGCGUUAUUCAACGUUAAUAUUUCU